CCCCUCUCAGGACCUCACCUGAAGAGUUUCCAGUACUCUUCCAGUCUCGGCGAUGGGAGGGAGAGUCAAGCAGAGGCCUGUCCAUUCCAUUCCUAGCUUGGGCAAUGGCUAGUGAGUGGAAGGCAAUCUGCUACAAGU
Molecule: non-coding RNA, 138 nt
Organism: Ornithorhynchus anatinus (platypus)
Lineage: Eukaryota; Metazoa; Chordata; Mammalia; Monotremata; Ornithorhynchidae
Source: Rfam